Molecule: RNA transcript, 1668 nt
Organism: Cryptomeria japonica (Japanese cedar)
Lineage: Eukaryota; Viridiplantae; Streptophyta; Pinopsida; Cupressales; Cupressaceae
Exons: 12
Source: RefSeq, a predicted model, not a curated record
GGUGCUGUGCAAGCAGGGUGCUGGAAUUUUUAAAUAUAUAUUUUUCUUGUCGUGGAGUAUCUACGUUUUUUUAUACAGUGCCUGAGGAACUUGUGCUCUUCUAUAAAUACAUAGGAUGUAUUUGUAUCCUAUUGUGCACCAAGCUUUUUUAGUUCAGAGAAGGUUUAAGGAGUUCAACAAUGGCAAAGCAUUGUGGUUCAGGAGGGCAGUGUGUGUGGUGGGGUGAGAAGUAUAUGAAGGAGUGUGUGUGUGGAGUAAGAGAUUAUUUGUCUGUUGGUUUUGGGCUCAUCAGUUUGCUGAGCUGGGCAGUUGCAGAAGUGCCUCAGAUUAUUACCAACUUUAAGAAUGGAUCCACAGAGGGUGUUUCCCUGGGCUUUCUCAUGACAUGGGUUGUAGGGGACAUAUUCAAUCUUAUUGGAUGUUGGCUGGAGCCAGCAACUCUAGCCACACAAUUCUAUACGGCACUGCUGUAUACAAUCACCACAAUAAUCUUAGUUUGCCAGAUCAUAUAUUAUGAUCACUUCUCCAACUGGUGGAAAGUGAGGAAAGCUAAGAUUCAAACUAAGCAAAUCUCGAAAUGUGAGCAAAAUGAUUAUAAAGGUGCCAGAGAGCAUAAAGUGUGCAUCUGAAAUGGCCAAGGAAACCAGUGCAGACUCCAAUAUUAAAUCCUUUUAUGGGACUAUAAUGCCCAGUUUACCUAAUAUUAUACCCACCAUUUCUUCUGUGCAGAAACCCAAUACUGGGAAGGAUCUAUAUUACACGUCUGCAAGAUCUCUAGCUAGCAGUUACACUCCUACUCCUGGUUCGUAUCUGCUACACUCUCGUGGGUCUUGUAAAAGCGGCACAAACUAUAUGUUAGAUGAGUCAUCAGAAGAGGAGGGAGAACUGUUCACUAGACUUAUAUCUCCAAGUUCUAAGAAUUCCAAUACCAUUAUUCGCUCUGUAGCUUCAACAAUAUUCUUUGUUGGUGGGCUGAACUUUUUAAAAUUGCCUACUUAUAAGAGCAUUUUCUCAACCUCUUACCCUGUUCAAAUAGAAAGGAGAUCUGUUUUUAGAAUAACUGGAAGAAAACUUUUACAGGGAAUGGGUGGUGUUGCAUUCAGUAGAUCAGUGAUGCAAGGUGACUCAUCAAGCCAACUAGGAACUUGGUUGGGAUGGAUUAUGGCUGCAAUUUAUAUGGGUGGACGGCUUCCACAAAUCCACUUAAAUAUUAAGAGAGGGACUGUUGAGGGUCUGAAUCCACUCAUGUUCAUAUUUGCUCUCAUUGGAAAUACAACCUAUGUGGGAAGUAUAAUUCUAAGAACUCUCGAGUGGGAGAAGCUUGAGCCAAAUAUGCCCUGGCUGGUUGACGCUGCAGCAUGUGUAUUAUUGGAUUUCUUUAUUCUUGUUCAGUUCAUCUAUUAUAAAGUACAAAGAAUAGAUGAAGAUGAAGAUGAAAAUGAAGAUUAUAAAGUGAUUAAAGAUUAGUGAUUCUAGGAUGAUGUAAUUAAAUGAUAAAUCUAUUUUUUUAUUAGAAGAUAUUUGAUAUUGAGUUGUAACUUUUUAUUGUAAUAGUUGACAUUGAAUUGAGCGAGGGGCCUGCUUUGAUUGGUGAUAACUUCUUGCCGUGGGCAUGAGAUCAUGAGGUCUAAUCUAUAAUUAUAGUUUUGAGUUUGACCUCUUUGUAUU